GCCAUCUUAGCUCAGUUGGUAGAGCACUAGACUUGUAAUCUUGAGGUCUUCGGUUCGACUCCGAAAGAUGGCU
RNAcentral lists this transfer RNA (73 nucleotides) under Treponema sp. Its description in RNAcentral is "tRNA-Thr". It matches the Rfam family "tRNA". Rfam says of the family: Transfer RNA (tRNA) molecules are approximately 80 nucleotides in length. The record is from RNAcentral. Lineage: Bacteria; Pseudomonadati; Spirochaetota; Spirochaetia; Treponematales; Treponemataceae.